This 629-nucleotide ribosomal RNA is filed under the name uncultured bacterium. RNAcentral's name for it is "bacterial SSU rRNA". It matches the Rfam family "Bacterial small subunit ribosomal RNA", at positions 338 to 956 of the family's 1533-position model. The record is from RNAcentral.
CCUACGGGAGGCAGCAGUGGGGAAUUUUGGACAAUGGGGGCAACCCUGAUCCAGCAAUGCCGCGUGAGUGAAGAAGGCCUUCGGGUUGUAAAGCUCUUUUGUCAGGGAAGAAACGGCAGUUUCUAAUACAAGCUGCUAAUGACGGUACCUGAAGAAUAAGCACCGGCUAACUACGUGCCAGCAGCCGCGGUAAUACGUAGGGUGCAAGCGUUAAUCGGAAUUACUGGGCGUAAAGCGUGCGCAGGCGGUUAUAUAAGUCAGAUGUGAAAUCCCCGGGCUCAACCUGGGAACUGCAUUUGAGACUGUAUGGCUAGAGUGUGUCAGAGGGGGGUAGAAUUCCACGUGUAGCAGUGAAAUGCGUAGAUAUGUGGAGGAAUACCGAUGGCGAAGGCAGCCCCCGUGGGAUAACACUGACGCUCAUGCACGAAAGCGGUGGGGAGCAAACAGGAUUAGAUACCCGUGGUACGUCCACGCCCUAAACGAUGUCUACUAGUUGUCGGGUUCUUAAUUGACUUGGUAACGCAGCUAACGCGUGAAGUAGACCGCCGUGGGGAGUCGGUCGCGAAGAUUAAACNCGAAAGGAUUGACGGUGAGAGACGNGACCGAGGCCGACGAGGAGGGGUUAGAGG